CCUACGGGAGUCAGCAGUGGGGAAUAUUGCACAAUGGGGGAAACCCUGAUGCAGCGACGCCGCGUGAGUGAAGAAGUAAUUCGUUACGUAAAGCUCUAUCAGCAGGGAAGAAAUACUGACCUUACGGUCAGCAGACGGUACCUGCGUAAGAAGCCCCGGCUAACUACGUGCCAGCAGCCGCGGUAAUACGUAGGGGGCAAGCGUUAUCCGGAUUUACUGGGUUUAAAGGGAGCGUAGACGGUGCGCCAAGUCUGGAUUGAAAUGCCGCAGCUUAACUGCGGAACUGCGUUGGAAACGGGCGAACUAGAGUGCGGGAGGGGUAAGCGGAAUUCCUAGUGUAGCGGUGAAAUGCGUAGAUAGUAGGAGGAACACCGGUGGCGAAGGCGGCUUACUGGACCGUAACUGACGUUGAGGCUCGAAAGCGUGGGGAGCAAACAGGAUUAGAUACCCCUGUAGUC
This 458-nucleotide ribosomal RNA is filed under the name uncultured bacterium. Its description in RNAcentral is "partial 16S ribosomal RNA". It matches the Rfam family "Bacterial small subunit ribosomal RNA", at positions 338 to 795 of the family's 1533-position model. The record is from RNAcentral.